RNAcentral lists this ribosomal RNA (406 nucleotides) under uncultured bacterium. RNAcentral describes it as "partial 16S ribosomal RNA". It matches the Rfam family "Bacterial small subunit ribosomal RNA", at positions 30 to 526 of the family's 1533-position model. The record is from RNAcentral.
AUUGAACGCUGGCGGCAGGCCUAACACAUGCAAGUCGAACGAGAGGCGGACGGGUGAGUAAUGUGUGGGAAACUGCGUGAUGGAGGGGGAUAACUACUGGAAACGGUAUCUAAUACCGCAUACCAUCAGAUGUGCCCAGCUGGGAUUAGCUAGUUGGUGGGGUAACGGCUCACCAUGGCGACGAUCCCUAGCUGGUCUGAGAGGGUGCCCAGCCACACUGGAACUGAGACAGGGCCCACACUCCUACGCGAGGCAGCAGUGGGGAAUAUUGCACAAUGGACGCAAGCCUGAUGCAGCCAUGCCGCGUGUAUGAAGAAGGCCUUCGGGUUGUAAAGUACUUUCAGCGGGGAGGCGUUACCCGCAGAAGAAGCACCGGCUAACUCCGUGCCAGCAGCCGCGGUAAUUC